This 73-nucleotide transfer RNA is filed under the name Fasciola gigantica. It matches the Rfam family "tRNA". From Rfam's summary of the family: Transfer RNA (tRNA) molecules are approximately 80 nucleotides in length. Their secondary structure includes four short double-helical elements and three loops (D, anti-codon, and T loops). Further hydrogen bonds mediate the characteristic L-shaped molecular structure. tRNAs have two regions of fundamental functional importance: the anti-codon, which is responsible for specific mRNA codon recognition, and the 3' end, to which the tRNAs corresponding amino acid is attached (by aminoacyl-tRNA synthetases). tRNAs cope with the degeneracy of the genetic code in two manners: having more than one tRNA (with a specific anti-codon) for a particular amino acid; and 'wobble' base-pairing, i.e. permitting non-standard base-pairing at the 3rd anti-codon position. The record is from Rfam by way of RNAcentral. Lineage: Eukaryota; Metazoa; Platyhelminthes; Trematoda; Plagiorchiida; Fasciolidae.
ACCGCGAUAGCUCAGCUAGCAGAGCGUCUGCCCGGUGUGCGGAGGGUCGCCGGUUCGAUUCCGGCUCGCGGCG